Long non-coding RNA from Xiphophorus hellerii (green swordtail), 6803 nucleotides. RefSeq lists it as uncharacterized. The transcript is spliced from 6 exons. NCBI's taxonomy places the organism in Eukaryota, Metazoa, Chordata, Actinopteri, Cyprinodontiformes, Poeciliidae. The record is from RefSeq and is a predicted model, not a curated record.
UAUGAAAAAAAGCACAUAAUAAUUAACAGAAGGCACAAACUUUUUCUAAAUUAAAUGCACCCUUUUCAGCUUUAAACCAGCUCUUUUGCUAAUAGUUUGGUUUAUCCUUUGAGAGAAAUGUAUGACCUCUAAAUUCUUGCAAGUUUUGUUGUGGGUCAGGCAGGUCUAUACUAUUCCAUCACCAUGUUUUUGGUGGCCUACUUUAUCAUCACAAUGACUGUUCUGUCCAUUUGUGCCAUAUCCACUAAUGGGGCUUUAGAGCCUGGUGGUGCCUACUGUAUCCUUUUUAAAGCUGACACAGUUGACUGCUGUAGCUUAUAAACCUCACUUGGGUGUUAGUGAUUAGGCUUUGUUAAGAGAUGAUAAAGUAUCCUUGCUUUCUAGGGUUUUUCAUCAUGUUUUUUCUUGCUAAUGUCUGGGGCUGUGCUCUGUUUGUUUUGGGCUUGAUGGAGGCCAUCAUGUCUACCUUUGGAGUACCAGAAGGUAAAGUUAAUUUAACAUUUUGAGACAUUCUUGAUGUGUUGCAUGUACUUAAAGCCUUCUUUCACUGUUUGUUAGAUAACACUGCAGCUUUUACAGGUUCUCAUCAAACGUUGCCAUUGGGAUAAAGGUGGUGCCUGCUACAGGGUACUAUCCUCCUCUUUCUGGGCUUUGUAGUCUGUUUGGUAAGAUUUUUUUUUUUUUUUUUUACAUGAACCAUUGAGAUAUGUGAGGUUUGUACUUUAUUUGUAUGCUGCUUAUGAACAAUACGUUUAUUAAAGAGGUAAUGAUGGUGAUAAGAAAAAUAAAUUGCAGCUAAAUCAAUACGUUGAUUUAGCAGCAAUCAACAUAUUGCAGUUAAAUCAACGUCACCACACCACACAGCUCCAGUGUGCUGUGGUGAUUUCUCUGCUGGACUAAUCCCAGUUCAACUGGUAUCUUUUUUUUUUUCAUUUCAAAAUUGCAGGAAACAAGCAGCAGAAAGCUCUUAUUUUUGUGCUUGUUUAACAUCAACCAUAGUGCAUUGCGUAGUAAAACCUCUGCAUCUCUGCUUAAAAAAUUAGACGCCAUAAAAUCAGGAACUGACUUGUGAUAAUUUCAUUAAAAUGUAGUGGAAACAAAUCUACCACAAAGGGAAAACAAAUAUAGAUGUUACAUUUCAGAGGCUAUCCUACAUUUGUUAGAAAAGCAGAGGACACGCGUAACAUGGAAAAGCUGUAUAAAGGUCCCUGAAAGGUAGUUUUCACAUCUUUUAAGCAAAUUCCAAUGCAGUGAAACAGCACUCCUGUAAAGGAAGUUUUGCAGUUUACCAUUUAUGAUAAUUAUAUAGGUCAAGAUCUAUGCAGUGAAUGCCAAUGUUGCUUAAUUACACAGGCUUGUUUUUACAGGUUGGAGCCCACAUUUAUGCCAAAGCUACCUUUAUUAUUUUUAUCAUCAUCCUUACCGUUCUGGUUUCAAUCUUCAUUAGUUUUUUCACUGUUGGCCCCCCGGUGUUGAUUCUACCAGAAACCUCUUUAGCCAACAACACAAGCAGAAAGGACUGCUAACUAUACCGGCCUCUGGCUCUGCACAUUGAAGGGAAACCUAUUCUCUAAUUACACGGUUGACUACACCACUGGUGGCAUGAUGAGUUUUGCCUGAGUAUUUGCAGUCUUGUUCAGCGGCUGCACUGGAAUCAUGGCAGGCUCCGGCAUGUCAGAUGGUGUCUUGGUGCUGGGGAGGAGAAGUGGAAACCCCUGGGUUUCUGAACGUAUCUGCUGGUUUCUUGUACAGUUCCAUUCAGGCUUUUGCCAGCAUAGCAUUUUUGCUGCUCCUCUGGAUGCUCAUACACUGCCUGCCUGGGGCCCAUCAGCAACUGGGGCUACAUCAGUCAAGCUCUCAUCUUCCAUCAGGUUACUUGUUGCUUCUGGAUGUGCGGAAGGACCAUGUGAAGUUCUGGAGGUGUUGUUGAUGGUUGCAAACCCUCGCACCUGUACGAGUCGUGUGACUUUCAUCAACGACCUGAAGAAAAGCGGCCUGUAUGUCCUGGGACAUGUGAAGCUUGGGCUGCUUGAUGGUUUACCAACUGAUCCCCUGCAGAGCUGUUAUAAUUCCUGGCUGUCUUUGGUGGAUCAUUUAAAAAUCAAGGCGUUUGUGAACCUAACUCUGGCUGACUCGGUUCGGCAUGGAGUUCAAAAUCUGCUGUUCAUCUCGGGCUUUGGUAGGACCAAGUCACUCUAUUUUUAAACUCUUUGACAUUUCUCGCGUAUCAUGAUAACACAUCUGCUGGCUUUAGGUGGGAUGAGACCAAACACUCUUGUGCUGGGUUUUUAUGAUGAUUGCACACCUGAAGAUGGCCUCACCAGUCAAAUUCUCCCAUCAUUAAGCUUUGGCUCGGAUUCAGUGUGUGCAGCUACAGCCUCUGAGCCGCAGAGCUCCUUCUUCUUCUCAAGGAACUUAGGAUAUCAGCUUAACUUUACUGAAGUGCUAGGCUAAUGCUGACAUAUUUACUAUUUGAUAUGGCUAAUUAAUUUGGUUUGUAAGAUGUUUAAGUUCCUGACAAUUUUGUACAAACAAAAGGUACAAGGUGUAAUUGUUCUCAAACAUGGUUUUAAAAGUUCUAAAAUUUAACACGUAGCUCUUCUGCCUAGCUGAUGUAUGUUUUCAGUCGUCUUUAUAUAUGAAAGUUAGAAUUUUUGUGUUUGGAGAUAACCUAACCUACAGGUUUGGAGAUAACCUGUAUUUCCAAUACAGUGGAAAUUGUACAGAUGGGGAAAAUCGAAGUAACCUAUUUAUUAUUGCUUUCAUUAUCAAUGUCAUCUUAAAAGUGAAUAAUUUAGUAAAAACUGAUUUAUUUGAUCAACAAAAUAAUGUACUCGGGCUGCGCCAGUCUUGCAAGUCGUGCAUAGAAAAAUAGUUUGUUUUUGUUAGUUUUUUUUUUUAACCUAGCCAUGCAAAAAUAUGACAUGAUGGUUAACUACUGGUGCAAGAGACAGUUGAGACUUUUUGGGCUUUGUAUUAUAACAUGUUAUUCUCUCAUCAAAAACACUCAUGGAGUAUUACUUUGAUUCUUUCAUGCUCCCACGGCAGCCUUUCAGGGGGGCCUAAAUGCCCCCCUGAAAGGCUUCGGAGCUGCGGUCUCCAGAAUGGCUUCUCCCUCACAAAGUUCCUCCAGACUAGCGGCAGCAGCAAUGGGAAAAUACCUAGUGGAACUGUGCUUCUGCAGAGCUUAUCAGGAGCAUUAUUGAGGAGACAUGCUGAUGGACUGUUGAAAAGAGGAGCUUUUUAAAGAGACAGAGGCCCACUUUCAAGGCAUUUGAAGUCAAAUUUCUUCUAAGUCAUACUUAAUAGAUACAGCAUUUUGAUAACUUUUGAGCUAUGGAAUGAUGCAUAAUACUGUUCCACUUAAAUAUACAAAUUUCUGAAAAUGUCAAAGGAUCCAAGUAAAUUGCAUCAUAGCUUUCCUGCAAUGCCCUCGCCUGUUCUAAAUGAGCACAGGCCAACGUGGUAUGAUACUUGACCUACUCUUUUGCCUAAAAUGAACAGUUUAGCUCCAAAUGAUGUGCUUCUAUCUAUUCACAGUGAAUAGAAAGACUUUACGUCAUGUACUGAUUACUUCACUCAAGACAUUUCUUGUGUGUGUGUGAAGGUUCACCUCACUCAACAAACAUCAGCAAAUAGGUGAUUAAGGCAUUUUGCCAACUGAUUAAGCAGAGUCAUUGGCGGCAAAUGCCACGUGUGCUUUGACGAAAUUUCCAUGAGUUCAUUCUGGCUGAGUACUGACACCCACCUACACGUCUCUGACAAACAGCCUGUGAGAGAGAGUGUAUCCCCAGAUGGCGACAGGGUUGGCUCCAUCUAAGACAAAUGGGCAUCAAGAUGCUAUGAACUGCUUCGUGUUUUCUUGGUAUGUCUCUGUGGCUUGAGAUGAACUUUAUUUGGAAAUAACAAAUUGGCAGCUGUUCCCUCAAAGCCUCCGGUUGCUCAGUUUGGAUGGAUGGAUGUCAGCUCUCUCCACCUACUAAACCAACAAGUAGAGAGGGGGAAGAACUGACUCACUUCCGGAUGCUGAUGAGAUUCACUGAUAAUGGAAAAGCACUUUAAUCCUUGUACAUUUUAUUGUGACCUUUUACUAAGCUGGUGCCGUGUUUUUCCUGUACAUGUAUUUUAUUUGAGUAGUUCCCGUUUUCAAAGGUGGAACGUCACCUCACCACUUAAACUCCAAGAAUUUUAAAUCAUCAUUUAACCUAAUGUUUUAUUUGUCAGAGUAACCUGUGAAGAUGUGUGUGCAAACAAGAAGCAUGUUUUUAAAGCACUCCCACUUUAGCUUUAUGUGCACUAUUCUCUACAAAUCAUUUAAAAUUAACUUAGAGAAGGCCUCAAGAGUUUGACCUUCUUUCAAGUGAAGUGUUUAAGUACUUAAUUAUUUUUGAAGCUGCAAUAUACAGUAAAAAUCCUUUAUUUAUAACACAAAAUAACAAUCAGUUCCCCUUAAUAUAAAUAUUUGUAACGAAGCAAUGUCUUUAAAGUUCAGACCAGAUUAGAGCAAAAACCCACACAUGCAAAGAAAUCAAGGCAAAUUAGUCCCCAAAUGAAAUUAUCAAUAAAAGAAAAAGGACAUUCAUUGAACCCACUUACAAAAUUGUAUUAAAUGCUUCCAUGGAAAGAGCUUUUUUUUCCAACUUUUCUCCUUUACGGAGAAACUAGUGCAUUCAUUACUCAUGUGUGAGUUCGACCCACUGUGUCUUCUACACAAACGCUUCAAAUCUUAAAGGUUUGUGUUUGGGACUCUUCUAUGCACUCUGAUCUUCGGUUCUUUCCAUUUUUAGUUGGAUCAAAGUCAGGUGAUUAGAUCAUUCUGGCACAGUUUUACUGUCUUAUCUGAAUCAAAAUAACAGUCCCCUUGUUUGUGUUUGGAACUAUUGUCUCAGUUUUAUGGGUUUUUUACGGCUUGUCCAAAUCUUCUGCUUCUACCUUUAAAACAAGUGUUAGAAUGAUUUUUUUCCAACAGUUUUGCAUCUGCAUCAACAGUUCGCAAAGAGGCAAUUGUGUUGAGUGCAUUACCUGUAAUUUUCAAUGGAUAAAAUUGUACCUGCUCAUUUCAAGACUCUCAAAAACACUUUGAGAGUCUGGUUUUUGUACAACUCUUGUUUGAAAUUUUCAUUUCUCUGCACCAGAAAUGUUACGAGGGGCACCUGACCUGGUUACGGCUGGUUUACUGUGAUGUUCUUCUGGAUUAUGGCUUUAACAGCGCUCACAAUGGUGCAUUCAUAAGUUUAGAAAUGCAGCUGUAAUCACUGUAUAUUUUGAAACAUUAAGAUUUUUGGGAAUUUGUUUUUGCUUUGCCAACCAUAAAACCUCAAUACUUUCUAAUAACAAACCUAAACUAGCAGAUUCCUUUACAAAUAGCAAGAAAAGCUUAAAACGGCAGUUUCUGAGGUUUCUUCGUCUUUUUACAGAUUCAUUUCUUGACAUUUAAUGAGUUUUUUCUGUUAUACACUUCUUUUUUAACCAUUAAUUUAAUCUGAAGACUGAUUUGCUUUAAUUACUUUUGAUGUGUGGGAUAUCUGGGUUGUUGCUGACAUUUGGUGUGAAUUUUAUGUGAAUGACCUCAUUUAAACUAAUAAAAAGCUGACAUGUUCAAUGUCUAUUUUACUAGCUAUAAUUUAAAUGAAAAUAAAUCUGUGGGGAAAAACUAAGCACACACCCACAAUAUUUUUGUAUUCUCUUGCAUCAUAUAUUAAGAUUUGGCAUGUAAGGUGGGUAUUUCUAUUGCUUUCAUGUCAACAUGUGAGAGGCUCUUAAAGAGGGUGUGGAUGCUGAAGAGUCUGGGGAAAAGACAGUCUUCUCUUUCUUCAAAACAAGAACAUACUGGAUGUAGUUUCUCUUUGGCACAUAGAUUCUGGCUGGAUCUGAAAUGCUUCUUCUGAUCAGCAGUCGGUUCCAUCCGUGGCCUGCGUCACGUUUGCACCACAAUUUACGUGUAUUGUCACCAGCCCACGCAUUGCUGAAAAAUUGCCUGUAGGAGGCAGAGCGUUAACAGACUGAGGCAAGCCCUAUUAGGGAAUGCAACAUCCACCCUCAAAAUAUCUUAAUCAGUUGUUCAACUACAGCACGGAACAAGAGAGGUGCCGGCAUAGCUUCACACAUCCAAAAAAUGUUGCAAUCACAAAGACUUUCCCAUUAUCUCGGCAGUUGUAAGGUGUCAAGAGAUUCCUUCACUGACUGUGGGAGGCUUUGGACAUCCUGUCUUCAGCUAAAUGUUCAUGUCAAGAAGGACAGAGGACUAGCUGAAGCCAAGAGCAGGACAACUCAGAAAAAUAGUUAAAAUAGGUUUAAAUUUGUCUGCAUGCUAACAAGCCUAACUUCUACUCUCAUUUUUAGCCAUGACUGGACAUGAAAAAUACCAAAUUUGGUGACGUCUUUUAGUUCAUCUUUAUUUUUAGUCUUUCUUAUACAAAGUGAAGGAAACAAAAGUUCUUUAUCAAAACAGGACACAAAAAAAAAAAUUAAGGAGCUCAACAUGAAAUGUAAAACAGGAUGUGUAUGUAGUUAACAGAGCUGAUGUUGGUUUGAAGAAAGGAAACAAUUCUGAGAAAAGCACCUUAAGCAUUUCUUUGCACAGCACCAAAAAUGUCUAAUUGGGCAGACAGUAUUUUCAAGAAGAAAAAUAAUUAUGUUCCAAAUGAGAAGCCAGGAACAAAGACAAAUUUAACAAAGGAGGCCCAGGAAACCUCAUGUUUCUGCAAAGAUACCUUAAAAAGUGGGACGGUACUGUGAAGAUAACUGAAAGGGAUACAGAGAUGCAUGGAUGGAGAAUGUGUUAAAAGACCAGAUGUUGACAA